UGAAUACGAGAUGCUACGGCAUCGAAGCAGUCUAUGUCAUACUUCCAAGAAAAGCUCGCACUGUCAUAAACAAAUUAAUGCCUGUACCAUAACCGACACAGGUGGGUAGGUAGAGUAUACUAAGGGGCGCGAGAUAACUCUCUCUAAGGAACUCGGCAAAAUGACUCCGUAACUUCGGGAGAAGGAGUGCCUUAUUUAUAAGGUUGCAAUAACCAGAUCCAAGCAACUGUUUAUCAAAAACACAGGUCUCCGCUAAGUCGUAAGACGAUGUAUGGGGGCUGACGCCUGCCCAGUGCCAGAAGGUUAAAGAAGUUGGUUAGCAUUAGCGAAGCUGAUAACUGAAGCCCUGGUGAACGGCGGCCGUAACGAUAACGGUCCUAAGGUAGCGAAAUUCCUUGUCGGGUAAGUUCCGACCCGCACGAAAGGCGUAAUGAUUUGGAUACUGUCUCAGAGAGGGGCUCGGUGAAAUAGACUUGUCUGUGAAGAUGCGGACUACCUGCACCUGGACAGAAAGACCCUAUGAAGCUUUACUGUAACUUGAAACUGAAAUUGGACUUUAUUUGCGCAGUAUAGGUGGGAGGCUUUGAAAAUAUUCUUGCGGGAAUAUAGGAGCCAUCAGUGAGAUACCACUCUUGUAAUGUUAGAUUUCUAACUUUGUGUCAUUAUCCGGUCAAAGAACAGUUUCAGGCGGGCAGUUUGACUGGGGCGGUCGCCUCCCAAACGGUAACGGAGGCGCACAAAGGUUUCCUCUGAACGGGUAGAAAUCGUAUCUAGAGUGUAAAGGCAUAAGGAAGCUUGACUGUGAGACCUACAAGUCGAGCAGGGACGAAAGUCGGUCUUAGUGAUCUGACGGUGCUGAGUGGAAAGGCCGUCACUCAACGGAUAAAAGUUACUCUAGGAUAACAGGCUGAUCUCCCCCAAGAGUUCACAUCGACGGGGAGGUUUGGCACCUCGAUGUCGGCUCAUCGCAUCCUGGGGCGGUAGUACGUCCCAAGGGUUGGGCUGUUCGCCCAUGAAAGCGGUACGCGAGCUGGGUUCAGAACGUCGUGAGACAGUUCGGUCCAUAUCCGGUGUAGGCGUUAGAAUAUUGAGAGGAUCCUUCUUUAGUACGAGAGGACCGAGAAGGACAUACCUCUGGUGUACCAGUUAUCGUGCCAACGGUAAACGCUGGGUAGCUAUGUAUGGAGUGGAUAACCGCUGAAAGCAUCUAAGUGGGAAGCCCACCUCAAGAUAAGUAUCCUCAUCACGUAAGUGAAUAAGGUCACGGUAAGACUAACCGUUUGAUAGGCAUUAAGUGUAAAUCUAGUAAUAGAUGAGCUGAGAUGUACUAACAGACCGAAGACUUG
This 1346-nucleotide ribosomal RNA is filed under the name metagenome. Its description in RNAcentral is "bacterial LSU rRNA". It matches the Rfam family "Bacterial large subunit ribosomal RNA", at positions 1564 to 2925 of the family's 2925-position model. The record is from RNAcentral.